CUUGAGUGCUGUGGCAGGGCCAGUGUCACACCUUGGUGCUGCUUUGGGGGCAGGUCCUGUUCCAGCCCUCCCUGUGCCUCUUGUUCUCUCCUUCUGUCCUUUCUGCUGCCUUGUUUGCCUUGUGGAAGGGGAACAUUUGAACACAGCACUCAAACCUGAGAGGAACAAAUGUCUCCAAGAUAAUUUACGUUCUGCAAGAUCUGUGAAAGAUGAAAAAGAGUAAAGAGACCUCAGAUGCCCCCACAAGAUGGGAAAGGCUGGGAAAUGAACUCUUGAUGUUGGAGAGUAUUCCUUUGGGAUAGAUUACAAAUCCCAGUUACUGAGAUCUCUGCUUAGAGCUCAGAGUUCUUAAACAUGGGAUGUUGAUCUCCCUGGACCUCACUCUAUUUUUACUCUUGUGUGGACUGGGGAACUUGCUGUAGCUGUGGGCCUUAAAUACAAACCAUCAGUUUGACUCUUCAAGACCUUCUUAAGAGGCUGCCUGCAAGCAAGUGUGAAAUGUGUUUCCUGAAUCUUUCUUGGCCUCCUGAGGCUGGACCUAGCUCUGUGAUUAGAGCUUGUGUAUGGUAACUAUGCCUGUAGAGAGGUGAGCAAGGAGAAACAGUAAGCAUAAGGUCUUUGAAAAGCUCUCAGAAAUCUUUCUGUGAAAAGACUUUACCUGGCAGAAUUUCUUAAUUCUAUAUGACAAAUUGUUCUUGUUUUAAAAUUUAGCUGGCGUAGGAAGAGGAGGGUGGAAUUGAUGCAUACAAUUUGGAUUUGUGGAAGAUGGAGCUGCCUCUGCCCAGGAUUGAACUUCAGGAUCAUUACCAGCAAUCAUUACCAACUUCAGAAUCAUCACCAAAGCCAUCACUGGGAGUAGAAACCAAUUUUCAUAUUUUUUGAGCCAUGCUAAAGAGGUUAUCUUCCCUGUGCUAUGAGAAAAGAACAGUCUGCUGAUUAACUGAAUGGAGACUUGUGCCUUGGGCAAGUUCUGGGAAAGAAUUGGCUAUAAACUUUUAGACAUGAGACUGAGAUUGGAUUCUGACCAUUGUGUGAACUACAGGUCUGGAGAUUCUCAUCCUCUCUUUUUGCACAGGAUGAUUGUACUAAAUAAAUAAAUAAAGAGAGAGAGAAAGGAAGAAGAUAAGUUUGUAAUAAAGCCUGAUUUCUAGGCAGUUUCACCAGGGGAAAACUCAUCUUUCAUGCCAGCCUGCAGGAAGUCUUCACUGUGGUAUACAGAAGAAAUAUGAAAAUGCUACAGAUAAAGAGUCCCUUUUCCUCAAAUCCUUGGGAUUUUCAAAAGUAAUUAGUGAGUGAUUUAUGUUACUCUGAGUUUUGACGAGAUGCAAUGGAUUAAUUUCAAGAACCUUCCUAGACAGUCAUUUAUAGCACACUGUAUGUUACUUAUGAGAGAAAGUGAAUUCUCACUCUUUUGCCCAAAGCUCUGUGUCUGAAUUUUUAGACAGGGAUUGGCAACUCUCUUCCCUGGAAUUUAAAUUUGUUCAAUCCAUAGUCAGAUGAGGACUAUUUUGCUCUAUCACCUGAGAGUUUAGAUCCAAGGGAACAUUGUUGUGUGGCUUCUGCCUGCUGCCCUCAGGGUCAGGAGAGGCAAGUGAGGCCCCUGGGACCAUGCAGCAGGAGGUGGGGAGUGCCAGGCAGAGCCCCUGGGACAGGGAUGCUAUGGACUGGGAUGUAUCCAGCUCCUGGGACAGGGAUGCUAUGGACUGGGAUGCUAUGGACUGGGAUAUUAUCCAGCCCCUGGGACUGGGAUGCUAUGGACUGGGAUGCUAUGGACUGGGAUGUAUCCAGCUCCUGGGACAGGGAUGCUAUGGACUGGGGUGUUAUCCAGCCCCUGGGACAGGGAUGCUAUGGACUGGGUUGUAUCCAGCCCCUGGGACAGGGAUGCUAUGGACUGGGAUGUUGUCCAGCCCCUGGGACAGGGAUGCUAUGGACUGGGAUGCUAUGGACUGGGAUGUUGUCCAGCCCCUGGGACAGGGAUGCUAUCCAGGGACAGGGCUGCCCUGAGCAGCUGAAGGGCUCCUGGGCACCCCAAGCCCUGGGGGUGAAGGGUGUUUGGGUCCUGGAUUUGAAGUUUAGAGAUGCCCAAAUGUGUGGGGCUGAGGUAGCUCAUAGGUGUGACCUGCUAAAGGUUGGGGAAGAUUUGAUGUCAAGCAGUGUAUUGCCCGUUGUUUUAAAGGUGUGUGGCUAUAAAAGUAGAAUCUCUUAAUUUCCUUUAGAACUUGAACCAGUUACACAACAGCCAAAAAAAGAUUUCUAAUUUUAAUAAAAGUCAAGUAGAGACUAAUCUACACUGCAGUGUCCCCAGGACAUUUGCAAAGUUCUGGAAUUCCUUCAGCUGCACAAACAGAAAUUUAUAAAUAUUUAUUGAAAUGUAGUUUAUUGAAAAUGUCACCUGUGCAACUGGAAGUGAACAUGAAAGAGAAACUGAGGUGGCAGGGAACAGCUUGUUUACAGACAAGUUGUCCACUUGGUUUUGUAUUUCUGGUUUAUGAGUGGCUGCUUUAAUUUUGGUCCCUGCCAGCUGCUUCUGUGUACAUGGUUCAGAAAAAUAUCCAAGAGAAAAUGGAUACUUUAGGAGGCAGAUUGUGGCAGCCAUCACUUAAUGGAAUGGCUGCUGAAGGAUUCAACAUUACUGGAAAAAAGUGUGUUUUGAGGGAAAUCAGCUGCCACUGCUGCACAUGCUGAAUAUGCUGUUAAGACAUCAUGCACAAUACUAAAAGGAAGGGAGCAAAAUAUAAACACCAGCAAUUCUAAAUGCUACUGUAGAGAGUCUUGUCACCUAUCUCCAGUGGUGAGACUAAAAUGCAGUCUAAACAAAUUCAUAGGAUUUCCAAGUUUUUGAGAGCUACUCAAUUUUUUGUUCACAUUUUGUGGUCUAUAAUUUGUACUUUAGUUUUAAGAAUCUCUCUUUUGGGCAAUGUUUGAGGAAUUCAGCAUCUCUAUUUAUCCUGAUUAGGCUAGAUACAGGACUAUUUAAUCAGCACCCAGAACUUAUCUCACACUAGGUUUAUAACAGCAUAAAUCUCCAUCUUUCAAUUUCUUUUAAAAGAUAAAAUCUUGCUCAAAUUUGACUUCAGGAAAAACUUCUUGUGCCCAUUGCAUGCUUGUGAACAUGAGAAAGGCAAAUCUUAAAGCAUGAAAAAGUAGAAAGUUGUGUUUAUAAAAUACUAAACUGUAACAUAAAAUAUCUAAGUAUUGAAUGAAAAAAAAAUUCCCCUCAUAUUUUAAAUUGGGGCAUUUUAAUUGCAGGUACUUAUCCCUCACUUUACACAUUGCUGGCUGCAGAGUUUGAGGUAAAUACAGCCACCCUACUUCUAUCUGAGUUUUGUAGUGUGUAACAAUCUGCCCUGGAAAUGGAGCAUUCUCUUCUGCUCCUCAAAGCAAACUACAUGUAAUUGUCAAAAAGUAAAGCUGGCCUAGAAAGAAUUGUUGGGCUUUGAAUUUUAUUUUUUGAAUGAUGAAUUGUGCUUUUUGAAGAAAAACUUUUCAUUAUUUGACAUGGGUGAUCUAGUAUACUGAGAUUAGUAAGCCUAAAAUAGAUUGACGUGAAGUUAAAUAGAGGGUGGAAAAUGUACACUGAAAUACCUGAAUAUAUUUGUGAAGAACCAUAUUUGUUCAGCUGCAGAAUGUUCCUCUUUUACACACUUUCUGUGCCUCUUACCAUUUUUUAAUACUUUUGUGUUUCUUUGCCAUAUAUGUUGUAUACAGUUAUAUAUAACAGGUGUAUAAAUGAUUUUAAAAAAACAACCAACCAAAGCUCCAAACUUGUGAAUUGAAAGUUGGCUGUAUAAAUCUCUUCCAUAUAAACUUAUUCAAUACUCAUUGAUAUUGAGUUCUUCAAAGUGCUAGUUGACUUCCAGGUCUGAAACUUCUGGGAGGAGGAGCUAAAGCAGCUGCACUGAACCUGACUGAUCACAGCUGUGUUGUGCCUGGGUACUUGGAUCCACCUGCACGGCAUAAACACCUACACUGCUGCAGUUUUGAAAAGUAAGAUUCUGUUUAGCAGCAUGCAGGUUGAAUUAAAGAGCUGCUGGCCUCGUGUUUUCCUCAUUGAGUUGGAGCAGUUUGAUGAAGGCAGUGUUGCUUUCAGUGCUCCUCACUCGCUGAUUCAGAGAGAUGUAACCACUGUGUAGCAGCAGGGAAGGUGCAGAAUCCAAUUACAGCUUUUCAUGUUUGGGUUUACUGAUUAGUUUUACUAUUUCAGAUGUUAAACCUGCAGUUCCUGUUUGCUUAUCUUUAUUUGUUACUUGCUAAAUUUUAAAUGCUGUAAGAACUGGAGCUGGCAUUGUAGGUUUUUUCAGAAAAUUUCAUAUCUCUCUUCAACCGAGUGAGAAGGAAAGAAGGGAUUAAUUUGAACUUCAUGGUAUUGUAAUGAUUUUUCACUGCUAUGAAUUGGUUUUGCUCCCUGUAGUCUCUGUCCUUUAUUGCAUUAGUGCUGCAGAACAAUAGUGGUGGGAGAUAUUGCUUUAUGAACUCCAGUGUCUCAGAACUGCCGUUGUCAUUCAUCACCUAAUAUAGGCUAACUGAUGCUACUACAGACCAUUCCAGAAUGAAAAAGAAGCUUUUCUGCUUUAGCUAGGUGGUCACUUCAUCUGUAGUGAGCACGGAAAGCCAAAUAAAUAUUUGAUGUGAACCUUUAUAAAAAUAGAUAAAAAAGCAAAAGUCUUGUUUUAUGUGAAGAACUCAUAGAUUAGAAGUAAAGAACAAAAUAACUGCAAGAAUUUUAUGCUACAAGAUGCUCCAGAGGUUUAUUUUUCUUUAUAUACUGUUUCAAGACUUACAAAUCAAUCGUUUUAAGCUCAUGUAAACUGCACAUUUCUUUUGCCGACUAGAUACAAAUAAUUUGUACACAAUGUGGCUUUAAAGACUUCCUCUGGAGCACUGUAGGGUAAAAAAACGGCUUCCCCUUCCCCCUCACUUUGAUGAAAUAGGGACUUUUUCUUGAAUAUUUAAUGGUUGUUUAAAGUCUGCUAUUAACAAAUUACUUCUGUAUGAAAAGUCACAGUGACAUUUAAACACUGCCGCCAGGGUCACCGGCAGCUUGCGGGACGGUUCUGAGCGGGCCAGUGCGCUUUGGUGGCCGUGUCGCAGCCGGCACGGAGGCUGAGGCGGCACUGGUGUCGCACACCAGGGGAGCUCCCUGCUCCCACCCCGCUGCCACCCUGCCCCGACAAGGCUCGGAGAGAGGAGCCCUCCUGCUACAGAUCCUACCCUUCACUGUCAGGCUGGAAGGGGCUUAGAAGUUUUUCCAGAAAGGGAGCUUGGCUGUUAAAUAUCCCUGCAGAAAACGUGGGAGGAGUAUUGAAAUGUUUUGAUAAGGGAUACGAAGAUUGCUUACACAUUUAGCUCCUUCACCCUCUUGUACUGUUUUCUUGCAUUUAUUAAAUAGUGUGCUACCAGGUAAGGCACACACCGGGUGAAUUUGUGCUUUAUCUGCUGUUAAUAAACC
Molecule: long non-coding RNA, 5449 nt
Organism: Haemorhous mexicanus (house finch)
Lineage: Eukaryota; Metazoa; Chordata; Aves; Passeriformes; Fringillidae
Exons: 3
Source: RefSeq, a predicted model, not a curated record